RNAcentral lists this ribosomal RNA (380 nucleotides) under uncultured eukaryote. RNAcentral's name for it is "partial 18S ribosomal RNA". It matches the Rfam family "Eukaryotic small subunit ribosomal RNA", at positions 592 to 976 of the family's 1831-position model. The record is from RNAcentral.
CAAUAGCGUAUAUUAAAGUUGUUGCGGUUAAAAAGCUCGUAGUUGGAUUUCUGCUGAAGGCAGCCGGUCCAUGUUCGACAUGCGCAUCUGGAUUGACUUCGGCAUCCUCUCAGAUAACGAUUCUGUGCUUGAUUGCAUGGAGCGGAGUUUGAGACUUUUACUUUGAGGAAAAUAGAGUGUUCACGGCAGGCAAUCGCCCUGAAUAUAUUAGCAUGGAAUAAUAAAAUAGGAUCUUGGUUCUAUUUUGUUGGUUUCUAGAACGAAGAUAAUGAUUAAUAGGGACAAUUGGGGGCAUUCGUAUUAACGCGUCAGAGGUGGAAUUCUUGGAUUGCGUUACGACGAACUACUGCGAAAGCACUUGCCAAGGAUGUUUUCAUUGA